RNAcentral lists this long non-coding RNA (1383 nucleotides) under Brassica napus (rape). RNAcentral's name for it is "long non-coding RNA (BNAP_LNC007909)". Lineage: Eukaryota; Viridiplantae; Streptophyta; Magnoliopsida; Brassicales; Brassicaceae. The record is from RNAcentral.
AAACGGCGAUGCUUAUGGCGAUUUAGGGCUUCAAUGGUUUCGCGACGGUGGGAACCAGGUAUUGGUGAGGGAGGCUUGAUUGAGGCAGACAAGGAUCAUGGAUAUAUGGAAUGUAGAUCUAUUUCAAAUCUCAGAGGUAUUGCGAUGGGGAUGGGAAAGAGGUUUUCAAAGGGAUUAAGGGAACAAAAUAUCAGAAAGGAUCAGACUUUGAUCAUCAUCAAGAUCAAAUUGCAAGGCUAUCAAGGUAUCAUCUCGGAUCCCUCAAUUGCAUGGUUUUCCUUACUUAUCAAUGAGAUCGGGAGGAUCUAUUUUGGAUAUGAUUUUGUGGGAUUAGUGAUUUGUGUAAUCUGGAAUGAAAUUCUAUGGAUUGAAUUUCUCUGUGGUAAUGAAUUGGGGAUGGCGUGAAUUUCUCUGUGGUAAUGAAUUGGGGAUGGCGAGUAUUCUGGGUCUUGGUUCAUAUCUGAUAGUGAAUCAUGGGGAUGAGUAUUGGCUGGUACGAGGUUUAUAUUUCGUUGUGACUGUUGUCUCUAAAGUUUCUAGUUUUAAUGACACAGAGUUAGUAUGGUUGAAAAGAGGGGCUUUCCAAUCUGUUGCGUACAGGGUUCACUGGUCUUGCUUUGAUGGAGAGGUAUGGAACAUCUAUGGUUUGGUGGUAAAUAUAAUUUGGAGUCCUGAUGUUUUACAGGUAGCUGGAGAGUUUGAUCGUACCAAACGGGGUGUAGCUGGUGAGUUCGGAUCAAGGUGCAAACUUUGUUUUAAGGAUUAUUGGAGUAAGGAGAGAAGCGGUGAGGGAUACAAAUGGGGAACCUAUGAGUUUGAAUCACUGGAACGAGAUCAAGCUAGGGGAGAAUGAAGUCUGAAUGCUGUCUCUUUAAACACAUUCAGCUUCUUUAACAACAGGCUUUCUCUUCUGCUGCAACUAGAAUUUUGCUGGUUAGUUGGGAAAGAGGCUGAUCUAGUGCAAACACUGAUUAUUGGGAUUAGGAUCUUCAUGGCAUUGAGCGGGGUAGCGGGGAGCUUCAUAGGUCGUAGGGUGAUCGACAUAUUAAGAAGGAAUUCAAGUCGGAGAUCCUUGAUUCAAAGUCAUCAAACUUCAAGGAGCAGAGGUUUUUGGGAUGAGUUAUAUGGAUGGAGGGAGACAGAGAGUUCACGGUUUUCAAUUAUAGCAAAAAUAGCAAAUGAUUUGAGUGGUGUAACUGGUUUGUUUGUUAUUAUAUUGAUGGAGCUGUAGUGUCCUAUAGAGUUUGACUUAUUUCAAAGAUCACGUUUUGGGAUACGAGGUUGUUUGGAUUGGAGGUCAUGUGGUUUUAAUGUUCAGAUUAGUGUAAAGAUUCGUCUUUUCCUAAUUUUGUUGAUAGUAGCAAGGGCUAAGUUUUUUCCUUU